AUUCCAUAUGUGCAGCCUGCAACUGCAUGCCAGAUGUAUUUAACUCGUUCUGUCUUGUUCUUCCUCUCCGUUGCUCACUCUCAAUUUUCUAGCAUUUUGUUCUCCGUAGUUAUUUCUUUCAACCCUACUUCUCUUUCAACUGCUAUUGGACUUCCUCAGUCUCAUAACCUGGGCUAUUUUAAUGGGAGGCAGUUAUUUUCAACUUUGCGGGUGCAUUGAAUAUAGCAUCUGUUCUGAAGGACAGUGUGCAGUGUGAGAAAUGCAGUGAAGGAGAGGGGAAUGUAUAGAUUUUUGCUUCAUAGAACAGAUGAUAUUUUUAGAUGGAGAUUUUUUUACAGAAAACUUUUUAUUUCCUUUGAUAUGGUCACAUGAUUAAAGACAGUGUGUUCUGCCCCCUUAUGGUGAGUAGAGGAAUGUGGAUACAGCCAUCACCUGCUCCCCAUACGAACCCUAUUACUCAGGAAGACACACAACAUAAACAUACCAUAUAGACACACAAAAAAAAAAACUAAAAUCUUUCAGGAAUUAUAACGAUCUAAUCCUGGAAUUUUAGCAGCUUACUUCAGGAAAAAGUGUCGACUGGAACAGGAUUUUCUCCUUACACAUAUCAGAGACACCCCCUAAACGCUCACCGAUACUCUAAAGGUCCAGAUGUGAGCUGAAACUGAGUGGUGAUGUCAUCACAGCCCCAUGUCCACUCCUCUGCGGAAUCCAGAAAGCAGACAGAGGAGAGAAGUGGGGGAUGAGAGAGAAAGAGAAGGGAAAGCACCUGGACAUCCCAACGGC
Long non-coding RNA from Ictalurus punctatus (channel catfish), 786 nucleotides. The record is from Ensembl. NCBI's taxonomy places the organism in Eukaryota, Metazoa, Chordata, Actinopteri, Siluriformes, Ictaluridae.